GACGAACGCUGGCGGCGUGCUUAACACAUGCAAGUCGAACGGAAAGGCCCUGCUUUUGUGGGGUGCUCGAGUGGCGAACGGGUGAGUAACACGUGAGUAACCUGCCCUUGACUUUGGGAUAACUUCAGGAAACUGGGGCUAAUACCGGAUAGGAGCUCCUGCUGCAUGGUGGGGGUUGGAAAGUUUCGGCGGUUGGGGAUGGACUCGCGGCUUAUCAGCUUGUUGGUGGGGUAGUGGCUUACCAAGGCUUUGACGGGUAGCCGGCCUGAGAGGGUGACCGGCCACAUUGGGACUGAGAUACGGACCAGACUCCUACGGGAGGCAGCAGUGGGAAAUAUUGCACAAUGGGCGGAAGCCUGAGGCAGCAACGCCGCGUGCGGGAUGACGGCCUUCGGGUUGUGAACCGCUUUCGCCUGUGACGAAGAGUGAGUGACGGUAAUGGGUAAAGAAGCACCGGCUAACUACGUG
This 468-nucleotide ribosomal RNA is filed under the name uncultured bacterium. RNAcentral describes it as "partial 16S ribosomal RNA". It matches the Rfam family "Bacterial small subunit ribosomal RNA", at positions 28 to 507 of the family's 1533-position model. The record is from RNAcentral.